AACGAACGCUGGCGGCAGGCCUAACACAUGCAAGUCGAGCGGGGGAGCAAUCCCUAGCGGCGGACGGGUGAGUAACGCGUGGGAACGUACCCUUUGCUUCGGAAUAGCCCCGGGAAACUGGGAGUAAUACCGGAUGUGCCCUACGGGGGAAAGAAUCUCGGCAAAGGAUCGGCCCGCGUUGGAUUAGGUAGUUGGUGGGGUAAUGGCCUACCAAGCCGACGAUCCAUAGCUGGUUUGAGAGGAUGAUCAGCCACAUUGGGACUGAGACACGGCCCAGACUCCUACGGGAGGCAGCAGUGGGGAAUCUUAGACAAUGGGCGCAAGCCUGAUCUAGCCAUGCCGCGUGAGCGAUGAAGGCCUUAGGGUUGUAAAAGCUCUUUCGUGGGGGAAGAUAAUGACGGUACCCCAAGAAGAAGCCCCCGGCUAAACUCCGUGCCAGCAGCCGC
This 446-nucleotide ribosomal RNA is filed under the name uncultured bacterium. RNAcentral describes it as "bacterial SSU rRNA". It matches the Rfam family "Bacterial small subunit ribosomal RNA", at positions 29 to 518 of the family's 1533-position model. The record is from RNAcentral.